GGCGAACGCUGGCGGCGUGCUUAACACAUGCAAGUCGAGCGGUAAGGCCCGUUUCGGGGGUACACGAGCGGCGAACGGGUGAGUAACACGUGGGUGACCUGCCCUCAGCUCGUGGGAUAAGCCUGGGAAACCGGGUCUAAUACUGGAUAUGACUCCAUGACGCAUGUUGUGGGGUGAAAGCCUUGUGCGGCUGAGGAUGGGCCCGCGGCCUAUCAGCUUGUUGGUGGGGUGANGGCCUACCGAAGGCGACGACGGGUAGCCGGCCUGAGAGGGCGA
This 276-nucleotide ribosomal RNA is filed under the name uncultured bacterium. RNAcentral describes it as "partial 16S ribosomal RNA". It matches the Rfam family "Bacterial small subunit ribosomal RNA", at positions 28 to 303 of the family's 1533-position model. The record is from RNAcentral.